CUGUAAUGAUGACUUUCUUAGGACACCUUUGGAUUAAUUCAUGAAAACACUAUGAUUUCUGAGCAGC
This is a small nucleolar RNA of Euleptes europaea (tarantolino), 67 nucleotides long. RefSeq annotates it as small nucleolar RNA SNORD58. The transcript has a single exon. The record is from RefSeq and is a predicted model, not a curated record. NCBI's taxonomy places the organism in Eukaryota, Metazoa, Chordata, Lepidosauria, Squamata, Sphaerodactylidae.